This is a long non-coding RNA of Notothenia coriiceps (black rockcod), 553 nucleotides long. RefSeq lists it as uncharacterized. The record is from RefSeq and is a predicted model, not a curated record. The transcript is spliced from 4 exons. Lineage: Eukaryota; Metazoa; Chordata; Actinopteri; Perciformes; Nototheniidae.
AGGAACCAUCCUUUGUCUGUAACAACCUCCACAGCCCCUUCUUUAACAGAAAGUGGAAGCCAGCCUCUAACAGGGGAUUUCUUUGGUAACACAAGAGGAUGGCUACUAUGAUCGCAAUGAUGGCCAACACACCCAGAAUCGAUAGGGACGACACAGCCAUUAUAAAAAACUCUGGAAGGUAGAUGGUGUAGGUGACCCCGAAAAGAAAGAGUUCUUUCAGAAUCGGUUUCUGGUGAACAGAAACUUUGAGAGUGCUAGAAGUCGCCCACAAAGUGAAGGAGGGUGGCUGCAAUGCCCCUGUAGGAACAGAGAGUGACAGACGAUGAGAUGUUAUCUCCUGCAACCAGCUGAACUCUGACCUUAUAGGGAGCGCGUUUUUCAAUUAUAAGGCUGCUUACAUCACAGUUCGUCUUUUUGAUCCCUGUGCAGCUGGCGACCAUGGCCCAUUCCCCACCCAUGUACCUAAGGACAGAAAUCAUAAUACGACCAAGGAGUAAAUAAAUGAUUUCAAUAAUAGUCAAUUUUUGCUUGUUAAUUAUUUAAGUAAAGGGAA